This 440-nucleotide ribosomal RNA is filed under the name uncultured bacterium. RNAcentral's name for it is "bacterial SSU rRNA". It matches the Rfam family "Bacterial small subunit ribosomal RNA", at positions 339 to 796 of the family's 1533-position model. The record is from RNAcentral.
GUACGGGAGGCAGCAGCAAGGAAUUUUCCCCAAUGGGCGCAAGCCUGAGGGAGCAACGCCGCGUGCGGGACGACGGCCUUCGGGUUGUAAACCGCUUUGGGGUGGGACGAUGAUGACGGUACCACCCGAACAAGCCCCGGCUAACUCUGUGCCAGCAGCCGCGGUAAGACAGAGGGGGCAAGCGUUGUCCGGACUGACUGGGCGUAAAGCGCACGCAGGCGGUCGCGGGCGUCGGUGCUGAAAGGCCACCGCUUAACGGUGGUACGCGUGCCGAUACGCCGCGACUGGAGCGGUGCAGAGGCCAGGGGAAUUGCCGGUGUAGUGGUGAAAUGCGUAGAGAUCGGCAGGAACACCCAAGGGGAAGCCACCUGGCUGGGCACCGGCUGACGCUCAUGUGCGACAGCGUGGGGAGCGAACGGGAUUAGAUACCCUAGUAGUCC